AGCGAACGCUGGCGGCAGGCCUAACACAUGCAAGUCGAACGAACCUUUCGGGGUUAGUGGCGGACGGGUGAGUAACACGUGGGAACGUGCCUUUAGGUUCGGAAUAACUCAGGGAAACUUGUGCUAAUACCGAAUGUGCCCUUCGGGGGAAAGAUUUAUCGCCUUUAGAGCGGCCCGCGUCUGAUUAGCUAGUUGGUUGAGGUAAUGGCUCACCAAGGCGACGAUCAGUAGCUGGUCUGAGAGGAUGAUCAGCCACAUUGGGACUGAGACACGGCCCAAACUCCUACGGGAGGCAGCAGUGGGGAAUCUUGCGCAAUGGGCGAAAGUCUGACGCAGCCAUGCCGCGUGAAUGAUGAAGGUCUUAGGAUUGUAAAAUUCUUUCACCGGGGACGAUAAUGACGGUACCCGGAGAAGAAGCCCCGGCUAACUUCGUG
RNAcentral lists this ribosomal RNA (434 nucleotides) under uncultured bacterium. RNAcentral describes it as "partial 16S ribosomal RNA". It matches the Rfam family "Bacterial small subunit ribosomal RNA", at positions 29 to 507 of the family's 1533-position model. The record is from RNAcentral.